This 1050-nucleotide long non-coding RNA is filed under the name Piliocolobus tephrosceles (Ugandan red Colobus). Its description in RNAcentral is "lncRNA (ENSPTEG00000031013.1)". The record is from RNAcentral. Lineage: Eukaryota; Metazoa; Chordata; Mammalia; Primates; Cercopithecidae.
AUGGUACCUGGGAGGGUACGACGGGAAGGGCUUGGCCCACAUGACCAUGUUAGGGUCUUUGUGGCUGGGGAUGAGAGAAGGUCGGGGACCAAUGGUAAUCGACCCGAGAGAAGAAGCCGACGGGAGGGCCAGCCAGCCACGACUGGGCACAGAGGGCCUCGGACGCCAGGCAAAGGAGUGGGGCUUCACCCCAGGACGAUAGGGAUCCCCGGUGGGGUUGUGAGCAGGACAGGGAGCGGAUCAGAGCGGCGCGCGACAGGCCCUUCCGGGCCCCUGCAGAGGGACAGCCGGUGGACAAGAGUGAGGAUGAAACUCAGGACAGGAGCUGAGAGGGUGGUCGUUAGCCCUCGGGCACAAAGACAAGGUAAUAACGUUCGUUCCCUGUUACAGAAAGGCCCUUACUCGCUUCGGCCCCUGGCCCCGGUCCCGGCCCCGCCUCCGCCUCCACCCCCGCCCCCGCGGAAUCCCGAGCCCGCGCGUGCGCAUUGGCAGCAGGGAAUCCCCAGCUCCGCCGCAGAGAGCAGGGGGGGCGUGAGAGGGGAGUUCCGUGCGCGUCCCGCCUGCCCCGCGUGCGUUGCCAGGACGACCGGGCGGGGCCGCGGGGCCACCGGGCGCUCACUGCGCCUGCGCGGAGGUGCUCGCCUUUUGCGCCGGGGCUUUCCCGUCGCGCGCCAGCCGAAGAGGGGAAGCCGCGCGCAGCGCGCAUGCGUCUGCCCCACCCGACCCCCCCCCCCCCGCCACGUCCACCCACCCGCCCACCCUGAGGGCCGGGGAAUCCUCACCCGCCGCGGUGCGGGUGGGGGCUGGGCGGGGAAACCGGCUCAAACCGGAGUGGGGUUUGCCGAGGAGGUGGCGGGGGAGGGAGCGAGAGCGGGGUCUUCCGGAGGUUCCCACUCCGGCCCCCGUCGUUGCCUUAGCAACCGGGCGCGCGGGCCGCAGUGCGCGGGCGGCGGCGGCCUCGGGGAAGCCGGGUGGCUCUGCGCCUGCGCGGGGCUCCUCGCCUGCAGCCGGGGUUCCCCCUCGAGCACCGGGGGGCCGGCGGGGGAGUAG